Molecule: long non-coding RNA, 4797 nt
Filed under: Piliocolobus tephrosceles (Ugandan red Colobus)
Lineage: Eukaryota; Metazoa; Chordata; Mammalia; Primates; Cercopithecidae
Description: lncRNA (ENSPTEG00000020955.1)
Source: RNAcentral
GUGGUAGUGGUAGAGGUGGUGGUAGGGGUAGAGGUGGUGAGAUAAAUGACCAAUCAAGUGAUAGAAACGUGUUGUAUAAGAAUUUAGAGGCAAUGUUCAUGUUUGGAAAAACAAACGAUGCAUAUAAAAUACAAAAAGAUGCAUAUAAAAUAACAAACGAUGCAAACAUAAUACCAAACGAUGCAUAUACAAUGCCAAAUAAUACAUACGCAAUUCCAAACGAUUUGAUACAUUAUGUCGUAGCAGAAGGGCCGGGAUUAAUAGGAGGUGAAAUUAACACAUGGCUUUCGUUUUUUGUAUAUACUAAAAAUUUAAAAAAAAAAGAUUUAUAUUACGGGAGUAGUGUAAAAAUAAGAUUACAAGUAGAGCCAGUUGGUUACUUGAAGUCGGUAUACACGUUAAGUCCUUACAGUGCUGAACUUGAAUGUUAUAAUGAUAAUAAUAUAAAAAAGGGAAAGGAAUAUAUAACUACACAAAAUACAUUAUCAACAGAUUCAAACAAUUUAAUUUGUACUAAAUUAAAUGAUAUAGAAGAAAACAUUAAUUACAAAGUUAAGAAUUUAAAAAACGGAUCAUACCAAAUAUCAUAUAAACUUAACAAAGCUGGUAAAAAACGAUUAUACAUAUUUUAUGAUGGUAUUAAUAUUAUUGGUUCUCCAUACGACAUUAUUAUUAAUCAUAGUACAGCAGAUCCUAAGUUUUGUAAAUUAUAUGGAAAAGGUGUAACUAAAUGUUUAGGUACUCCAUUUUUAACAUUCAAAACGAUUGAAUAUAACGAUAUACAGUUAGUUAAAAAAACAGAUGAAUAUAACAAUGAUCAAACAAUUUAUCAGUUCAAUAAUAACAGUAAUGAUACAUCACAACUCGACUUUAACAACAAUACAAAUGCAAAAUUUCAAACAAAUGUAAAUAACCAUAACAAAAUGGAUAGUUACAGUAACAAAAACGAAAUAAAUCAAACAGAUAAUAUCGAAAAAAAUAGUAUAAAAGAAAAACAAGUUCAAUUUUACAAUGUAACAACAGAAAACAAAAAAAAUAAUGAAGAAGAACCUUUUCACAUUAUCAGUGCCUCAAUCGAAGAUGUAACAAAAACUGGAUACGGAUAUGGUAAUGACAUAAACGGGGUAAACGAAGUAAGCAGGGUAAACAAACCGACUGUUAGCGAUAUAAAUCUAAUGAAAAAUAAAUCCUUCGCAGAAAUAGACAAAACACAUAACGAAAAGUAUAAAAACUUUUUGAAAAGUGUAGAGCUUAUAAAUUCAUUUAUUUUAGUUUUAUAUGAUAAAUAUGGAGAAAGAAUAAAAAUAGGAAAUGAUUUGGUUAAAGUAGUUGGUAAAAAAGGCGCAUAUAUAAAAAAUGUAAUUGACAAUAACAACGGUAGUUAUAAAAUAGAAUACAUAUAUUAUUAUAAAAAAGAAAAAAAUAAAAAAAAAAUAAAUCAUGCUAACAAACAAGAGAUAAUAAAUUUUUAUAAAAAUUAUAUUUGCCAAACAAGUAAUUUUAAUCAUAAUAUAAUUAUUGAUCAAUUUGAAAAACAAUUCCCAAAUAUAUAUACACAUUGUGAAAUAUCUAUUUAUAUUAACGAAAUCGAAAUUUCUUUUUCGCCAAUUAAACCAAUCAUAUUAAAUAUUCAUAACAUCAUUGAUUUCUAUAAUAUAUAUGACCAGUAUACAUAUUCUGGUUUAUUAUUGAAAAAUUUUGAAUUAUUAUUAAACACAAAUAACUAUAAAGAAUGUAUGGAUAGAUUAGUUUUAUUUUAUAAUAAUUUUAUCGACCAAAUGGAUAUAAAUACUAGUAAAAUCGAAGAGACAAACAUGGAACGGUUACAACAUUUAAGUGAUUCAUACAAGGACAUAAAAAAGGAAGACUUUUUUUUUCGUAUACCACUAAAUAUAUUUGAUUUGAAAAAAGGUGCUAUAAUUAAAAGUAUGUUACAGUUGGAUUCGGUUAAAAGUGGGAAAACACUUGGUAAGAAUAGCGGUAUGUUCGGUAAGAAUAGCGGUUUGUUCGGUAAGAAUAGCGGUUUGUUCGGUGCGAGUAGCGGUUUGUUCGAUGAUAAUAGCAGCAUGUACGGUGGAAAUAGCGGUUUGUUCGGUGCGAGUAGCGGUUUGUUCGAUGAUAAUAGCAGCAUGUACGGUGGAAAUAGCGGUUUGGUCUGCGUUAACAACGUACCAACAACCCAUUUAUUCCAAUUCCAAGAACACACAAAUGAAAAAGAUGCACUAUUUAUUAAUGAGUGGUUAUACAUGUACUCACAUAAAAAUAAAAUUACCAAUUUAGACAAUAAAUAUGAAUUGAGUACCAGUUUGGCAUAUUCACUAAGCAACAUUAUUUUACAACACCUUUUAUAUAUAAAGAAAUAUACUUAUUUUAUAAAUUCAACAGAAUACGAAAAUGAGUUAUUACAACAUAAUAUUAUCGAUAAAUUAAAAAAAAUUUUAGAAGAUGAAUAUAAUAAAAUGUUUACUUAUCAAACUAGAGCUAUUAUAAACUAUUGUUCCAAAAUUGGAAAAGCACAAUUUGAAAGUUUUGAAGCAUUAUUAAAUGUAUAUAAAAACAUAUCAUUUGAAUUGAAAAAAUUAAGAUUAAAUGAUUUGGCUUAUGCGUUUGAUAAAUGCUGUGAAAAUAUGUGUGAAGAACUGUAUCUAAAAAAUAUCGAAUCUAGUUUAAAUAAAAAAGAAAAACUUUUAAAUAAAUACGAAUCGAUAAUAAACGAAAAAGUAGAAAAAAUAAAUGAACUGAAACAAGAAAUAAAAAAAUAUGAUCAAACGGAUAAAAAUGUUGAUAUCGAUAAAAUAGGGGAAUUGUUUUCUGUUAAAAUAAACAAAAGUGUGCAAACAGGUGAUUAUCUUUCUUAUAGAAAUGGUUUUUUAUCUUCAUUGCUUCAGUCGAGAGAAGUCGCAAAUGGUGGUGCGAGUAAAGACAUAAGUAGUGAUGUGAGUAAAGACGCAAAUACAGAUGUGAAUAAAGACGCAAAUACAGAUGUGAAUAAAAACAAACCUAUAGAAAACAAUCAAAAUAAAGACAUACAAGAAAAAAUAAACAAAUUAGUUAAAACAUACUGGAGAAACGCAUCUCCACGUGAUAUAUAUUUUACUAUGCAAAAUAUACUGAAAAAUAGCCCAAGGUUAAAAGUAACAUUAGAUGAAGUUUUCAACUAUUAUAGUUGUAGUUAUGAUAAUAAUAAUAAUAAUAAUAAAAAAAAUAUAACUGAUAUAUACAUGAAAAGAUUUGAACAACUGAGUGAAGCAAAAAAUUUGAAUAAAUUAAAAAAAAAUGAAUCAAUAGAAGGUCAACUAUUAUUAAUUCAUAGUAAUAACAACAAUAAUAAUAGAGAACAACUGAAUAAUGCUUGUUUAACUUAUAAUGCUUAUAUUUCAUUCAUUGUAGAUAUAAAUUGUAAUCAUUAUUUUAUAAAAAAUAUAGAGGAUGUGUUAUGGUUGUUUGAAAAGUUUUCAAUAGAGCCUUUAUCAAAUAAAAAGUUAUACAAUCCUUAUGGGUAUUUACGAGUUUUACCAAAAUACUUAUACAUACCAUUUAUACGAGAACUAGCAUAUAUUAAUUUAUUGUAUAUUAUAGCAGAAUUUAUUGUUCAAAAAAAACAAGAUGCCAAAUUAUAUUUAGAUAUUAAUCAUCCUUCUAGAUUAUCUGCUUUUUAUUAUUUUGUCAAAAACCAUUUUAUUGAUUUUUAUGAAAAAUUAAAUCAACUACAAAACUUUCAAAAUUAUAAACAAAAAUUAAUCGAUAAAAAUGUAAAAGAUCUUAAAAUACAAACAACUGUAGAUAUAGAAAACACUAUACAUAGUAUCAGUUAUAAAAACUUAGAUUAUUAUUUUACUAACGAAUUACCACUUGUUGUUAAACAUAAGAAUUUCGUUCAUACAUUUCCUUUAUUGUUUGAUUAUUACUCAGGAUUUUGUAAAACUAUUUCAGGAAAAGUACAUACUACUACACUAAAAAAUGUUAAUGGAAAUAAAAUAAAUGACAAACUUAAUGACAAACGGAAUGACGAAAACACAAAUGAUUCAUUAGAUACGAACAAUAUUAACGAUAAACAUAUUUCUACCACAAUUUUUAUACGUUUUUUGAGAGAAUUUGGUAUUAUUCCUCAUUUUUUUGAUACAAAAAUCGCAAUACAUAUUUUAAAUUCAUUUAUGCAAAAUACAAAAUCAUUAAAUUAUAAAAAUUUUACACAUGCUGUCAUUUUAUCUAUCUGUGAAUGUGUUAAAAAAAAUAUAUUAACACAAUUAAAUUUGUUAAAAAUGAAUAAAAAAAUAAAUUUUAAAUUACAAGCAGAUAAAAUACUUAAUUAUGAUUAUAUUGCUUAUGAAGCGAAGGAGUUGAUUUACUUGUUUGGCUUAGCAGAUAUGCAAAUAGUUAAGUCGAAGAUAAACGCUUGAACUGUAUGUAUAUGUCACUAAUAUAUAUAUAUAUAUAUAUAUAUAUAUUAGUAACCUAUGCCUUACUUCACCCUUAUAAAACUUAAAUGAUUUUUUUUUUUUUUUUUUUAAGUUUUUUUUUUGUUUUCCCACUGGAUUUUAUUUGUCAUGUAUGUUUUUGUACGCUUUUUCAUUUGCCCAUUUGUUUGUUUAUAUAUAUUUAUAUAUGUUUUUUUUUUUUUUUUUUUUUUUUACUACAUACUCUACAAUUUACCUUUUUAUUUGUGUCUGUUUGUACGUACCUCUUUCUCUUAUUUUAACUCUUUUUUACAAAACAUGAACACUUUGAAACUAUUAUGACGCGAAACAAAAACAAAGCAAAGGCUUACCAAUAAAAAAAAAAAAAAAAAUUUAAUCA